UGUCCCUUGCAAAAACAUUUCUUUGCGGCUAACUUAUGGGUACUUUGCGGCAAAUCUGCAGCAACCUAAAAGCAGUGAGUUUCUCUGAGAUAUGACUGAGGUUCUGCUAAUGUGACAGUUCUUCAGAUCUAGAUGAAUCAUUUGAUCCUGAAAGAGAAUGAAGCCUGCCCCUGAUACUGAAGUCAUUGGCAGUCUUAAAAACAUGGCUUGUAACAACUCUU
Non-coding RNA from Pimephales promelas (fathead minnow), 221 nucleotides. Lineage: Eukaryota; Metazoa; Chordata; Actinopteri; Cypriniformes; Leuciscidae. The record is from RefSeq and is a predicted model, not a curated record.